CUCCUGUAUGUCUGACACCCUGCCAAGUACUAUCACUGAUGUUCACACCAAGGACUUCCAUUCUGUGCAACAUAGUGACCUUUUUCCCAUUCUGCUCAAACAGCUUCAUUAUGGAAACCUAAUGGAGAAAUCCAGAGAUUUCUUGUACCUCAACUUUCAAGAUACUUCUUCCAGCAGCAGAGCAGCUCUGACGGAUUUCCUGGGCCUAUUACAGGAAGGGAAGGGGGGUUGAAACAGCAAAGCACUAUACAUGGAGGAGUGGAGAAGGGAGCAGAGGAUCCUCAAGACAAGGCAAUCAAAUGCUGAUUACCUGCUGGAGAGGUAAAUGAUGCUAAAGGUAUGCUGCACGUGACUGCAUUUAUUCUCUGAUAUAUAAAAGAGGGUGACUUCUGUGAUACAGGAAAAGGGAUGGCUUUUUUUCAGGUCUGAUUCCCUGUAGUAGUGGGUUGGGGAUUUUUUUACAGUACUGGCUCUGUUCGUACGGCUUAUGUUUAAGGUAAUUUAAUAGAAGCUCUUAAAAAU
Zonotrichia albicollis (white-throated sparrow) is the source of this 522-nucleotide long non-coding RNA. NCBI's taxonomy places the organism in Eukaryota, Metazoa, Chordata, Aves, Passeriformes, Passerellidae. The record is from Ensembl.